Molecule: non-coding RNA, 101 nt
Organism: Acanthosepion pharaonis
Lineage: Eukaryota; Metazoa; Mollusca; Cephalopoda; Sepiida; Sepiidae
Source: the annotation of a GenBank genome assembly
CAGCCACAUCACAUUGAAAUAUCGGUUCCCAUACAAUCACCGAAGUUAAACAAUGUCGAGCCUGCUCAGUACCAACAUAGGUGACCACUUGGGAAUAUCAG